Molecule: ribosomal RNA, 442 nt
Filed under: uncultured bacterium
Lineage: Bacteria
Description: partial 16S ribosomal RNA
Rfam family: Bacterial small subunit ribosomal RNA
Source: RNAcentral
CCUACGGGUGGCAGCAGUGGGGAAUAUUGGGCAAUGGACGCAAGUCUGACCCAGCAACGCCGCGUGAAGGAAGAAGGCUUUCGGUUUGUAAACUUCUUUUAAGGGGGAAGAGCAGAAGACGGUCCCCCUUAAAUACGCCACGGCUAACUACGUGCAAGCCGCCGCUGUAAUACGUAGGUGGCAAGCGUUGUCCGGAUUUACUGGGUGUAAAGGGCGUGCAGCCGGAGAGACAAGUCAGAUGUGAAAUCCACGGGCUCAACCCGUGAACUGCAUUGGAAACUGUUUCCCUUGAGUGUAGGAGAGGUAAUCGGAAUUCCUAGUGUAGCGGUGAAAUGCGUAGAUAUUAGGAAGAACACCAGUGGCGAAGGCGGAUUACUGGACGAUAACUGACGGUGAGGCGCGAAAGCGUGGGGAGCAAACAGGAUUAGAUACCCGGGUAGUC